Molecule: ribosomal RNA, 253 nt
Filed under: uncultured bacterium
Lineage: Bacteria
Description: partial 16S ribosomal RNA
Rfam family: Bacterial small subunit ribosomal RNA
Source: RNAcentral
CACGUAGGGGACGAGCGUUGUCCGGAUUCAUUGGGCGUAAAGCGCGCGUAGGCGGCUCGGAAAGUCGGUCGUGAAAUGCCGGGGCUCAACCCCGGGACUGCGUCCGAUACUCCCGAGCUGGAGGCAGGUAGGGGAGAUCGGAAUUCCUGGUGUAGCGGUGAAAUGCGUAGAUAUCGAGAGGAACACCAGUGGCGAAGGCGGGUCUCUAGCCAGUUCCUGACGCUGAGGCACGAAAGCCAGGGUAGCAAACGGG